Molecule: ribosomal RNA, 429 nt
Filed under: uncultured bacterium
Lineage: Bacteria
Description: bacterial SSU rRNA
Rfam family: Bacterial small subunit ribosomal RNA
Source: RNAcentral
UCGAGAAUAUUUCGCAAUGGGCGAAAGCCUGACGAAGCGACGCCGUGUGAACGAAGAAGGCCUUCGGGUUGUAAAGUUCUGUCAUCUAGGAGCAAAUGAUGUGUAAGAAUACUAUGCAUUGUUGAGAGUGCUAGAGGAGGAAGCACUGGCUAACUCCGUGCCAGCAGCUGCGGUAAUACGGAGGGUGCAAGCGUUAAUCGGAAUUACUGGGCGUAAAGGGUGCGUAGGCUGAUAUGUAAGAUAGGUGUGAAAUUUCGGAGCUUAACUUCGAAGCUGCACUUAAGACUGCAAAUCUAGAGGUAUGAUGGGGAAAACGGAAUUCCACGUGUAGCGGUGAAAUGCGUAGAUAUGUGGAAGAACACCUGUGGCGAAAGCGGUUUUCUAAUCUAUACCAGACGCUGAGGCACGAAAGCAAGGGGAUCAAACAGG